RNAcentral lists this ribosomal RNA (111 nucleotides) under uncultured bacterium. Its description in RNAcentral is "partial 16S ribosomal RNA". It matches the Rfam family "Bacterial small subunit ribosomal RNA", at positions 1360 to 1482 of the family's 1533-position model. The record is from RNAcentral.
CGGUGAAUACGUUCCCGGGUCUUGUACACACCGCCCGUCACAUCACGAAAGUCGGUGGCACCUGAAGUAUCGUUUUUUUACGGUCCCAAGGUGAAAUCGAUGAUUGGGGUG